GAUGAACGCUAGCUACAGGCUUAACACAUGCAAGUCGAGGGGAAACGAUAGAGAAAGCUUGCUUUUUCUAGGCGUCGACCGGCGCACGGGUGAGUAACGCGUAUCCAACCUGCCCAUCACUUGGGGAUAACCUUGCGAAAGUAAGACUAAUACCCAAUGACGUCUCUAGAAGACAUCUGAAAGAGAUUAAAGAUUUAUCGGUGAUGGAUGGGGAUGCGUCUGAUUAGCUUGUUGGCGGGGUAACGGCCCACCAAGGCGACGAUCAGUAGGGGUUCUGAGAGGAAGGUCCCCCACAUUGGAACUGAGACACGGUCCAAACUCCUACGGGAGGCAGCAGUGAGGAAUAUUGGUCAAUGGACGAGAGUCUGAACCAGCCAAGUAGCGUGCAGGAUGACGGCCCUAUGGGUUGUAAACUGCUUUUAUAAAGGAAUAAAGUCGGGUAUGGAUACCCGUUUGCAUGUACUUUAUGAAUAAGGAUCGGCUAACUCCGUGCCAGCAGCC
This 501-nucleotide ribosomal RNA is filed under the name uncultured bacterium. RNAcentral's name for it is "bacterial SSU rRNA". It matches the Rfam family "Bacterial small subunit ribosomal RNA", at positions 28 to 516 of the family's 1533-position model. The record is from RNAcentral.